RNAcentral lists this ribosomal RNA (493 nucleotides) under uncultured bacterium. Its description in RNAcentral is "bacterial SSU rRNA". It matches the Rfam family "Bacterial small subunit ribosomal RNA", at positions 28 to 536 of the family's 1533-position model. The record is from RNAcentral.
GAUGAACGCUGGCGGCGUGCUUAACACAUGCAAGUCGAACGGACACAUCUUUCGGGGUGUGUUAGUGGCAGACGGGUGCGUAACACGUAGGUAACCUGCCCUGGAGUGGGGAAUAAUUCCGCUAACGCGGGACUAAUACCGCAUAGGCUCGGUAGCGUGAGGCUACAGAGUAAAGCUGUGAGGCGCUUCAGGAUGGGCCUGCGGCGGAUUAGGUAGUUGGUGGGGUAACGGCCUACCAAGCCGAUGAUCCGUAGGGGGCGUGAGAGCGUGGCCCCCCACACUGGCACUGAGAUACGGGCCAGACUCCUACGGGAGGCAGCAGUGAGGAAUAUUGCACAAUGGGCGCAAGCCUGAUGCAGCAACGCCGCGUGCGGGACGACGGGCCUUCGGGUUGUAACCGGACUUUUCUUCGAGGGACGGAGCGAGGACGGUACCGUUAGGAAUAAGUACUCGGCGUACUACGUGCCAGCAGCCGGGUAAGUCUACGUCUACG